Molecule: transfer RNA, 72 nt
Filed under: Camelus bactrianus (Bactrian camel)
Lineage: Eukaryota; Metazoa; Chordata; Mammalia; Artiodactyla; Camelidae
Also listed under: 1 other name
Rfam family: tRNA
About the family: Transfer RNA (tRNA) molecules are approximately 80 nucleotides in length.
Source: Rfam by way of RNAcentral
GAAGGUAUAGUUCAGUGGUAGAGUGCGUGCUUAGCAUGCAUGAGGUCCUGGGUUCAAUCCCCAGUACCUCCA